GGCGGUGUGGUGUAGUGGUCAGCACGUGACAUUCUCAGUGUUGAGACCGGGGUUCGAUUCCCCGCAUCGCUA
Molecule: transfer RNA, 72 nt
Filed under: Bacteroidales bacterium
Lineage: Bacteria; Pseudomonadati; Bacteroidota; Bacteroidia; Bacteroidales
Description: tRNA-Glu
Rfam family: tRNA
About the family: Transfer RNA (tRNA) molecules are approximately 80 nucleotides in length. Their secondary structure includes four short double-helical elements and three loops (D, anti-codon, and T loops).
Source: RNAcentral